AGGCAUGAUGGCCUGUACCCGAAACCGACACAGGUGGGGUGGUAGAGAAUACCGAGGGGCGCGAGAUAACUCUCUCUAAGGAACUCGGCAAAAUGGCCCCGUAACUUCGGGAGAAGGGGUGCCACCGCAAGGUGGUCGCAGUGAAGAGGCCCAGGCGACUGUUUACCAAAAACACAGGUCUCCGCUAAGUCGCAAGACGAUGUAUGGGGGCUGACGCCUGCCCAGUGCCGGAAGGUUAAGGAAGCUGGUCAGCGUAAGCGAAGCUAGCGACUGAAGCCCCGGUGAACGGCGGCCGUAACAAUAACGGUCCUAAGGUAGCGAAAUUCCUUGUCGGGUAAGUUCCGACCCGCACGAAAGGCGUAACGAUCUGGGCGCUGUCUCGGAGAGAGGCUCGGCGAAAUAGAAUUGUCUGUGAAGAUGCGGACUACGUGCACCCGGACAGAAAGACCCUAUGAAGCUUUACUGUAGCUUGGUAUUGUGCUCGGGCUCGGAAUGCGCAGGAUAGGUGGGAGGCUAUGAACCAUUGCUUGUGGGUGAUGGUGAGCCACUGGUGAGAUACCACUCUUUCCGAGCUAGAGUUCUAACAGCCACCCGUUAUCCGGGGGCUGGACAGUAUCAGGUGGGCAGUUUGACUGGGGCGGUCGCCUCCUAAAAGGUAACGGAGGCGCGCAAAGGUUUGCUCAGGCUGGUUGGAAAUCAGCCGACGAGUGUAAAAGCAGAAGCAAGCUUGACUGUGAGACCUACAAGUCGAACAGGGAGGAAACUCGGCUUUAGUGAUCCGACGGUUCUGCGUGGAAGGGCCGUCGCUCAACGGGUAAAAGUUACUCUAGGAUAACAGGCUGAUCUCCCCCAAGAGUUCACAUCGACGGGGAGGUUUGGCACCUCGAUGUCGGCUCAUCGCAACCUGGGGCUGAAGUCGGUCCCAAGGGUUGGGCUGUUCGCCCAUUAAAGCGGUACGCGAGCUGGGUUCAGAACGUCGUGAGACAGUUCGGUCCAUAUCCGGUGCAUGCGCAGGAAUAUUGAGAGGAUUUCUCCCUAGUACGAGAGGACCGGGAGGAACGCACCUCUGGUGUACCAGUUAUCGUGCCAACGGUAAACGCUGGGUAGCCAUGUGCGGAGAGGAUAACCGCUGAAAGCAUCUAAGUGGGAAGCCCACCUCAAGAUGAGUAUUCCCAUGGGGUAACCCAGUAAGGUCACGGGAAGAACACCCGUUGAUAGGCUCUACGUGGAAGCGCAGUAAUGUGUGAAGCGGAGGAGUACUAAUAGACC
RNAcentral lists this ribosomal RNA (1269 nucleotides) under metagenome. RNAcentral's name for it is "bacterial LSU rRNA". It matches the Rfam family "Bacterial large subunit ribosomal RNA", at positions 1630 to 2910 of the family's 2925-position model. The record is from RNAcentral.